Myodes glareolus (Bank vole) is the source of this 2150-nucleotide non-coding RNA. The record is from RefSeq and is a predicted model, not a curated record. Lineage: Eukaryota; Metazoa; Chordata; Mammalia; Rodentia; Cricetidae.
UAGUCCUUGCAGGGCUUUCAGGGUCCCAAUUCCUGGAUGGUAGGGAAUCUGGAGCCUCUGUGACCCUGGCAAUCAGAAUCAGUUUUCCUAGACCCUGAUUACUGAGAGAGGAGUGAGGGCACAGUGCCCAGAUUCAUGGACAUAUGAGAGUUCUGUCCAUUUAUCCCCACAGUGGCAAUAAUUUUCUAGGUACUGGAGGAUGGAAAACUCAAGAAUUCCCUCUGGUAUGCAUCGCAUCCCAUUGUCAAGGUUGUACUGAAGCCAAAUCUAGCGCAUACAGAUAUUAGCCUUUUGGGACAGAUUACAUCAGACAGUCCCAAAUUAUAAAGAUUUUGUAGGAGGCAAUCCAGGGGCAAUAAAGGAUCUGAUAUCGAAUUUCAAUAACCUAUUUGAAAAGUCUGUGCCCAAUUGUGGGGUUCAAGUCUGUCACACUGCAUCUACUGAGACAUCUCUUGAGCCAAAACGGGGCUGUGAAAAUUGAAUGGUAUGCAUCCCUGGCCACACAAUCUUCACCUCAGUUAAACCGGGCUUAGCCGCUUGGAUAAGACCUUGGGCGCGACUGCGACUUAAACAGAAAGCCCCCAAAUCAAUAAACAUAGAUGUGAAUGGAUCCUUAAACCCUAUUGACAUAGAGCAAAAACAAGGGGAACUUACCAAGACAAAGCCAAUCUAGCCUGGAAGCCGAUUUAACUUGGCAGAGAGCACUCUCAAUAAAAGCAUUUUUCUGCAUGUGGCCUUGAGCCCCUGGGAAAAAACACAUCCUCCAAACCCCCCAGUGGGACCUCCAAAACGUUAGGAAUAUUGCUAAAAUCGAGCCUCUCUGCUAACACGUGUAAUCCCAAUCAGACCGAAUCAGACCUUGUUAAAAGAUAUCCAGGUUUAUUUGGACCCCUGUGCUCUCGGGUGACCCUAGGGGGAGCAGAAAGCCAACAGGACCAUUGAAGAGGAAAAGGGAAGACCACUCCCAUGGGAUAUUUAAACUGCCCCCGCCCCUGCAGAGAACAAAUGUGGCUUUCCAAUCUUCCUUCUCCAUCUCCCCACUGAGGACAUAGGGUGGCCUCCCAGGAAUGCUGGCAUCUGUUAAACCUGGGCUUUUUCUAAUUUGGUUUGAUUUGGUCUGAUUCAGAUUAUUGCAUCAGUGGAGAGGUUUAUUGGGAUGUAAAAACUUUUCAAAGAUGUUUAUGUUAAUGACUUUGAUGCAGAAAGUCUUGAAGGAACAAUUUAACAUUUAGAAAGGCACAUAGUUGAGUGAGGUCUUUGGGGUCUGGGAACAAAAAAUGGCAGCCCGGCUAUUGCUGGCUGAUAUGCCUUGAUCACAGGUGAUGAUUAAUUCCUUGUACCCAUUUUAGCUCUCAGUUUCCUGAUAUGAUUUAAUAAAUAUACUGUUGACGAGUGGGUAUGCACCCUGAGGCUUUAAAACAGAAAUGUUGAUUUUUAGUAAUCAAGAAUGUAGAUUUGUGAUUCUUUUGAGAUUUUUUUUAAUAAAAUUACCUUUUGAGAUAAAUUAUAAAAUUAUUGGUCCUUUCUUUGUAACUCUAAAAUACAGCCUGUCAGUAAGACCUGGCUGAGAAAAAUAUCUUAUACUCUGUUAUUGUACAACAAGUUGCUUAGAUAUGAAUGUAUGUUGAUCUUUGGAAAUCAUUUGACUUUCUUUUCUUCAAUACAGGGAUUCUCUGUGUAGCCAUGGCUGCCCUGUAACUCACUCUGUAGACCAGGUUGUCUUGAACUCUCAGAGAUCUGCCUGUUCCUGCCUCCCAAGUGCUAGUACUAAAGGUUCCUACUUGUCUGACAAACACAUCCAAGCAUCAGUUGCUGAUGACAACCUGCUCCAAAUGACUAUGAGUCUGAACUUGCUAAAAUCUGGUGUGAACCAGCCUAGCCAAUGCGAUUGCUGUUUCUUCAGCUUGUGUAUGACCCAGAUGCUUCCAAGUUCCCUCGUUGCCUUUGACCGAUAUUCUGGCCUUCCAGGACCCUGAGAACAGUGUCCUAUGGUCAGCAGGAAGUAAUUACAGAAAUGAGUAUGACAUCCCUAUUUCCUUUCUGUAAUGUUAGAUAAAAUGGGAAUUUCUCAAAUGUUGAAUGGAUAAUGUCCAGUGUAUUGGAUUUUGUUAAUCCCUUGGUUUAAACUUCAGUAAAGCUCUUGCCUUGUA